RNAcentral lists this ribosomal RNA (407 nucleotides) under uncultured bacterium. Its description in RNAcentral is "partial 16S ribosomal RNA". It matches the Rfam family "Bacterial small subunit ribosomal RNA", at positions 30 to 526 of the family's 1533-position model. The record is from RNAcentral.
AUUGAACGCUGGCGGCAGGCCUAACACAUGCAAGUCGAGCGGAGAGGCGGACGGGUGAGUAAUGCCUAGGAAUCUGCCUGGUAGUGAGGGAUAACGUCCGGAAACGGGCGCUAAUACCGCAUCCUAUCAGAUACGCAUAGGUCGGAUUAGCUAGUUGGUGGGGUAAAGGCCUACCACGGCGACGAUCCAUAACUGGUCUGAGAGGAUGAUCAGUCACACUGGAACUGAGACACGGUCCAGACUCCUACGGGAGGCAGCAGUGGGGAAUAUUGGACAAUGGGCGAAAGCCUGAUCCAGCCAUGCCGCGUGUGUGAAGAAGGUCGUCGGAUUGUAAAGCACUUUAAGUUGGGAGGCGUUACCAACAGAAUAAGCACCGGCUAACUUCGUGCCAGCCGCCGCGGUAAUUC